UACACGACCGUACCGCAAACCGACACUGGUGCGCGAGAUGAGUAUUCUAAGGCGCUUGAGAGAACUCGGGAGAAGGAACUCGGCAAAUUGACACCGUAACUUCGGAAGAAGGUGUGCCUUUAGUCAGUGAACCAUUUACUUGGGGAGCUAAACGAGGCUGCAAAAAAUCGGUGGCUGCAACUGUUUAUUAAAAACACAGCACUCUGCUAAGACGAAAGUCGACGUAUAGGGUGUGACGCCUGCCCGGUGCUGGAAGAUUAAAUGAUGGGGUGCAAGCUCUUGAUUGAAGUCCCAGUAAACGGCGGCCGUAACAAUAACGGUCCUAAGGUAGCGAAAUUCCUUGUCGGGUAAGUUCCGACCUGCACGAAUGGCGUAUGAUGGCCACACUGUCUCCUCCCGAGACUCAGCGAAGUUGAAAUGUUUGUGAUGAUGCAAUCUCCCCGCGGAAAGACGGAAAGACCCCAUGAACCUUUACUGUAGCUUUGUAUUGGACUUUGAACAGAUCUGUGUAGGAUAGGUGGAGGCUUUGAAGCCGGGACGCUAGUUCUGGUGGAGCCAACGUUGAAAUACCACCCUGGUGUGUUUGAGGUUCUAACCUAGGUCCAUUAUCUGGAUCGGGGACAGUGCAUGGUAGGCAGUUUGACUGGGGCGGUCUCCUCCCAAAGUGUAACGGAGGAGUUCGAAGGUACGCUAGUUACGGUCGGACAUCGUGACGAUAGUGCAAUGGCAUAAGCGUGCUUAACUGCGAGACUGACAAGUCGAGCAGAUGCGAAAGCAGGACAUAGUGAUCGGUGGUUCUGUAUGGAAGGGCCAUCGCUCAACGGAUAAAAGGUACUCUGGGGAUAACAGGCUGAUACCGCCCAAGAGUUCAUAUCGACGGCGGUGUUUGGCACCUCGAUGUCGGCUCAUCUCAUCCUGGGGCUGUAGCCGGUCCCAAGGGUAUGGCUGUUCGCCAUUUAAAGAGGUACGUGAGCUGGGUUUAAAACGUCGUGAGACAGUUUGGUCCCUAUCUUCCGUGGGCGCUGCAGAUUUGAGGAAGCCUGCUCCUAGUACGAGAGGACCGGAGUGGACGAACCUCUGGUGUAUCGGUUGUCACGCCAGUGGCAUUGCCGAGUAGCUAAGUUCGGAAGAGAUAACCGCUGAAAGCAUCUAAGCGGGAAACUCGUUUCAAGAUUAGAUCUGCCGGGGCCUUGAGCCCCCUAAAGAGUCGUUCAAGACCAG
RNAcentral lists this ribosomal RNA (1221 nucleotides) under metagenome. Its description in RNAcentral is "bacterial LSU rRNA". It matches the Rfam family "Bacterial large subunit ribosomal RNA", at positions 1635 to 2848 of the family's 2925-position model. The record is from RNAcentral.